GACAGAGGUGCCAAGCGUUAGGCGGAAUCACUGGGCUUAAAGCGUGUGUAGGCGGACUCCUAAGUACUUUGUGAAAUCCCACGGCUCAACCGUGGAACUGCUUGGUAUACUGGGAGUCUUGAGCCAGCUAGGGGCUACCGGAACAAAUGGUGGAGCGGUGAAAUGCGUAGAUAUCAUUUGGAACGCCAAUGGUGAAAACAGGUAGCUGGGGCUGUGCUGACGCUGAGACACGAAAGCCAGGGGAGCAAACGGG
RNAcentral lists this ribosomal RNA (253 nucleotides) under uncultured bacterium. RNAcentral describes it as "partial 16S ribosomal RNA". It matches the Rfam family "Bacterial small subunit ribosomal RNA", at positions 524 to 776 of the family's 1533-position model. The record is from RNAcentral. RNAcentral also lists the same sequence under 1 other name.